Non-coding RNA from Anas platyrhynchos (mallard), 8317 nucleotides. The record is from RefSeq and is a predicted model, not a curated record. NCBI's taxonomy places the organism in Eukaryota, Metazoa, Chordata, Aves, Anseriformes, Anatidae.
AAUAAUACCUUGAGGGAUUCUUCAGAAUAUGCACUGGAGCUGCAUUCCAUGCACCAACUGAGGAAGAAGAUCUGGAUGAUGAAGUGGCUUGAUUAAACCUUUAGUAGCUUGCAUGAAUGUCAAUCAAAAGAAUGGAGAGCAGGUAUCCUGCUGCUAACCAUUAUCUCACUGUAAAGGUGGGGGAAGCAGCUUUCUUUCAAACCAUGCUACUCUAAAACAGGUAAGGGCAUCAGGAACUGGAAUGGUAAAGUUACAAAUGUUUUUGUUCAUUUAAUCUCCUGCUUUUGCAAUACAUAUCUUGGGAAUCCAUAAUGCUGUGAAAAGACGAGGGACCUCUAGCUAGUAACUUCAAACCAGGUGCAUUCCAUAUGAACAAUAGUGAAAAUGAGUCUUACUCCUAAAUACAGGUGAUGUGGAUUCUUGAUCACCUAUAUUUUGCACGUGUGCUCUUGAUCUCUUGUACAAAAGAGAUACGGGGGGGGGGGGGGGGUGGAAACCCUGCAGCAUCUCAUAAUUAAAGUUAUUUUCCAAUACAAGAUAACUGGCUCUGUAAACAAUUCUGAAAAUGUAAAGUUGUUUGCUUUCACACCUGAUUCUAUAGACUUAGCUUAGCAAUCACCUUAGCUGGAUUAAUAUUGAACAGCUAAAAAUAGAGUAGAACACAGGGGAAAUCAGUUUUAAAGCACAGAAAAUGCAAAUUAGUUAGUAACACUGGAAAAGACUGACUAAAGAAAUAUAGAGAGGGAUUUAGUUUUGCUUGUGGGGUUUUGAAGAAUUCAAAUAAUUGAUUAAUCCUGUACUGAGGAGGAUCAAAUAAUAUUUCUACAGUGCAACUAUUCAAACCUCUAGCUAAAAUCACAGUCUCAACGGCAAAUUAAGAACCUAACCCUCCAUAAAGCUAAAGGUCUUCAGGCUCUAAACGUAAUGUAUAUUUCCACAAAACAGUUUACUAGGUAGAUGUAAUCUUCACAUUGAUCUGUAUUUAAUUUUCAGUUGUGUUUCAAUUCUGUUUACAUAAAUUUCUUGAUAUUCCACUGGUAAUACAUUGGAAUAGAUGCUGUCUCUCCACAUACACCUAGGCACGAUUUAAGACAGAAAUAUUAAUUUAUAUAAUGAUCUAGGAACCAGGUACCUAAGCUGCAUUGCUCUGCUGUCAUUGUCAAAGCAGACAGGGUGACUGGGGUUCUGCUGACUAACUCUCCAUUAGCCAUCUAGGAGAACAAGACCACGUUCUUGGAGGACACUUACCAGAUAUUAGAAAAUAUAAAUCUUGCUAUGGAAGAGAAACACUUAGUGCAAAUCAUCAACAGACACAUGUAGCUUUGCAUGUUUUAUGUGCAGACCCAAGCAGGAGAUAAGCUCCUUUUAAUGGGCAGAAUUCUAGACUCUUUAAUGUAGAAGGCAAUCAAUUUUUUUCCACCUAAGAUUGAAAAUCAACAGCCAGUCAAAACCACUGAGUAAGAGAAGACAAAGAAUCGGAAUCGAUCAUGCAGUACUACUAGCAACUAGGCUCAUGUCUGCAAAACAGAAAGGAGAGGAAAAAACAAGCUGUAACAAUCGCCUGCGUUCACAGUGCAGUACUAAGAUGCUUUGGACUCUCAAUAGUAAAUGAGAGGCAAAGAUACUGAUCCCUACAACCUGACAACAUUUUACAAGGAACGGGUCUGAGAAAAUCUCUCCUUCACAAUGUACAAAUGCCAUGCAGGGUUAAAAGACAAGGGCACAGGGAAUCUGUGCUGCACACAUCACACAUACUGAAGAUGAAAUAAUUCCUUUGUGGUCAGGCUGCUUUGAAGCUUAAAGAAAAAGCAUUACAGUUGCUAGCUAAGGAGGGGGAAAGGAAAACGGGAGGAGAGGGGGUGGCUUGAAAUUCCAAAGCCUAUUAAAGUCAUAAAAAAAUAAAGGCUUAAGUGGCAACAAAUGGCUUUUCACCUCCAGAUCAUUUGAUUGGUGUCUGUCACAAUAUAAUACAAGCUGGAUUACAGUUCUUAGAAAGUUGGUGCUCUCAUUAGGAUGGCAUCCAUACCAUAAAUUAAAACCGCUGCUGGCAGUGCCUACAACAGCAGUUUGCUGAAGACCAGGUGGCCAUAAGCCGUGUUUGUGUCUAAUCCCAGCCAUGAAGGCCUCAGGACAAGGAGCUGUCAUCUUGCUGGCCUCUGUGAGCGCCUACAACACCUACUGCAUGCCGAUACACAAAUCCUUAUUUCUCCUCUAACUUGUCUCAGGUCAGGUCUCAGACAGCUGAGCGCAGUCCAGCAGCUUUGCCCUGCACCUGAAUUCCAGCAGCAGCACUGACAGGGCUGUAAUCCUUACAACCUGGCACUAGCAGGAAGCUUGCUCAGCGUUUCAAAACUGAACAUUUACGACAUUGGUAUUUCAAGCCAAAACACGUUUUAGCACAACAGAAUGGUAUCCAGCACUACCGAAACCCACUGAAGUCCCCUUAGAAAACAAAGCACGCAUAUCUGUCUAAAUCUAGGCACAGUUGCAGCCCAAUCUGCAACUGCCCUGGAGUUCCUAACCAGGAGAAGGAAGCUAACAAGUAGGGAAGUCAGUGAAACGCGAGUGGGAAACAGAGCUCUGCUGGGAUGCCUCAUACUGCAGCUUUUCUCCCAAAUGUGGAAGCCAUUAACUUAAAGAUCCAACAACGAGUGAAUAAACUGAGGAAAUAAGGAAUAAAGAAAUGAUAGAGGAAUUUAGCGUUUGGAAGGAAGAAUAACAGGUUUAGAUGAAGCUAGAUGAAGUAGCAGAAAUGAAAAGCUUAAAGCACUCUCGAGUGCUUUUGAAAAAUAAAGUGCAUGCAGUAAUUCUGCACUUGCAGGCAACUAAAGGAAGUGGCAUGUACAAUCAUGCCUGAAAGAUUAAAACUUCUGGUGGCAGCUCCAGAGACCUCAGCGCGUUACACUUCGACAGGCAGCCCAGUCAUCCAGGGAGACAAGUUGUGUGACUUACUAUCCAAGGCACUAAAAGCACCCCUUGAGAAAAUCAGUUUGAAGCCCCUAAAAGGCAAGCCCCCAGCUGGAAGAGCAAAAGACAUGAGAGGAGUACGAAAAUGACCCAUUUAAGAGCUUUGUGGUUACUCUGACAACUGCACCCUAGCAUCAGAACGGCGAAGUUGGGUCAAAAGGUGAUUGCUUACAGAUUAUAUCACCUCCAGGAAACAGCUUAAUUCACAGGCAGAUUCCACAUUCUGUUGAAGAAAAAAUACAAAUGCUGUGCUGAACGUGUCGGCUGGCUUCGCUUCAUUUUCAUAGGCAGCCUUCAGUCAGCCUGCCUCAGCUCUGGCACAGCAACCUUACACUGAAGGCAAGUGCUGCAAGAAUUCCUGGGGUGGACACAGGACAUUGUUGCCUUGCUAUUUAAGUAUCUAAAAGAUGUUCCAGUGAUCCACUUUGGUAGAUGUAGGGCAUCCACCCCUGAGGGGCCGUGAGCCCAGCCCAGCCAGACAAUUCACCCAGCUCUCCCUGGCUCUUUCCCUCUGCACCAGUAGGCAGAGCAAGGACGGAGCCCAUGGCAGAAGCAGGUGGGCAAGCACAGGCUGUGGGGGCUUCUUGGGGUGCAGGGGCACUGCCACGGCCAGCAAGGGCACCAGCAGAAAGCUGUGGCAGCACUGUGAGGAUUUCUGACCCUAUUCCGAACAGUGUGUUUAUCCGGGCUAUUGCAAUGUGCCUGAUCAUUACCAGCUAAAAUGUUGAGCUAUUUUCACAGGCAGAAAAUAGCAGAUUACCUGAGAAAAGGAGGAGGGAUAUUAUUUCCCACAGAAAAAAAUAAGUUAACCUUUCACAUGCUGCAUUUCUGGAAACUUAGUCAGCAACUUGAACUUCUGUUCUUACUUUGAAGAAAAUACAGCAACCGUGGCAGACUGCACACACCACCCUACUCCCCCCCCCUUCUUUUGUAAAACAAAAAACAAGCAAACACAAACAAAAACCCUCACUUAAGGCUACUCCAUUUAAAGCCUUGGUAGUUCAACUCAGACAGAUUUAUUAACAAUAGCUGUACGGGAGCAGCUAUUCCUCAUCCACCUGAGCUGAGCUCCUGGUCAGUUCUGCCUCUUCAAAGCUAUGAAAAUAAAAUAUUAUGUCCACACUGCUGGGCCGUGAUGCUGACUUUGCCUCAAGUGCUAUUCAUGUCUCCACGGCUCCUGAAGCCAUUUAUCGUACAUCUGCUGCCCACCACCUGAAGCAGCACUAACACCUUUCCCUUGACACCAAUAAACAUAUUUGCUGCUGUUAGCUUCCAGUGGAGGACCUCCAAAGCUUCCUGGAGCACAGCUCAAGGAGCAUUUCUCUGCAGAAACCUGCAACAACAAUUUAAACUCUGCUAUCAAAGAUACGAGUUGAUUCUUGCGUGUCUGGCAGAAAUUAUUUUCCAGAUUUGGUCAUUCUCAGGGGUAUUAAGAUCAAUAUGUAGACUGUAGGAACGAUCAAAGCCAGGCAAAAAUUGAAAGCUGUUUUUUGGGCAGCUCCAAAAUCAGGCAAGCAUCCUCAUUUUAAAUAAAAGGCACAACAUUUCAAAAAUGUUUAUUCUGGUCCCUAUCAAUCUUAAUUAUUUAUACCAUUUUAUAAAACAAUGGCAAAAUAUUUUUUAAUUUCAACUAAAAUAGAUUUAAAGUUCAACAUCAAAAAAUACUUAAGAAUAAAAAACUAGCAAUUUUGACUCUUCUAACCAGUCUUGUUCUGAUUAUUGCCAGUCCAUCUAGUACAGUGCUAGUGGCCUCUUGUGAGACAGUUUCGGGAAAACUAUGAAGUAGUAACAAUAUUUUUCACAUCAGCUCUGAUGCUGAGCACAACAAAUCCUCACCUGCACAUUCUUCUCAGAAGGAACCACUCUGAAUCAGGGGCUGAGGAUAGAACAGUCUGUGAAAGCAGGUCAGAGUCCAAAAAGGCAUCACGCAGCCGAACUGUCUGCACCCACCAGAAAGUGCUGUUACCAGCCAGUUGUGUAAAUGCACUGAAAUCUGACCUUCUAUACAAACGAAAUUUUCUAAAGUAGAAAGUCGUUUCACUGCCCAACAUUUCCACUGCAUUAAUUGCUUAUAGUUUUAUAUCAUAUUGUCCAGAUACCUCAUACUGCCUGAAAGAAGUUUUCUCUCCUGCAGCUCCUCUUAACACAAAAGUAAGUCAAGCCACCAUCAAAAUUGCAUAACAUCUUUGGACUUCUUUUGAACCUUAAAUCCAUGCAUAUUUAAACAUGAGAUAAUCCGCAGUUCUCUUCUCAGGCAUACUAUCAUCCGUUAAACACUCACUAUGUGCUAAGAAAAUAAUUUAAUAAGGACAUUUUUAACGGAGGAGAGGGGGUCUGACGUGCACUGCUGCCACAUCAGAGACCUCUUUUGCUUUGGAUGGCUUCCAUGGUAAUUCUUAUCUCCCAUUUGUGGGGCUAGCAAUCCCACUAUGCCAAGACAAACGAGCUCGGCUCUUCUAUAGCGCGUGCUGAGUAAAACUCUCCAGUGAAAAUACGGUGUCACACGUCAUCUGAAGAAACAAGCGGUGUAAAAACAGUGCUAAGGGUUAUCCUUAGCUAACUAACAAAGCUUCUCAGAAGCUUCUUAAAGCUUCUCAAAGUUGCUUAACCAGUGUCAAGGAAUCACCUUUUAAUUAGCAACUUCAAAAUAGAUUGAAGAUUAAUCCUAACAAUAGCCUUACAAACUAGUCAAACACUGUUACACCUUGGGAAACCAAGACAGGAAGGUUGGAUGACAGACAGACAGCAAGUCACGGCAGAGCCCAGAUUUAAAUCCAGGCUGACAGAGGAAUUCUGGCAGAUCCAGCAGCACUGGUUUAAAACUUCACUGCCUACAGCUGUCCUCCCCAUUCCUCUCCCAGAGGUUAUUUUUCUCUCAGGCUCAGCAGAAGGAAGUAUGUCACCACACUGCAGCCAUCCCAGUUCGGCCUGGCACACUACCUGGAGUCACAGAAGAUAGCUAAGGUGCCAAAACUAUUAAUUGCAAAAGCUAGAUUAUGGGUAUAAAUUCUCUUCUUCUCUUCAAGAGAGCAGCUUCUGAAAGGGAGGCCAACAGUAAAGUCAGACCACUCCAAUUUUCAGAAUACAAUCCUCAGAGCCCGAUUUAUGCUCAUCUCCCCAAUUUAUACUUAUAUUCUUUACCCUGUAUGACUUGCAAGAAUUGGACUUCAUUCUCAACUUGACUUGCACUGCAUCUUUUACUAUGUCGGCAAGGUUAAGAAAUUUAUCUCUGAUUCUUUAAGCCCAGAACACACCUUGGUUAGGAACAUAAAUUGCAGAAUAUUCUUCCUGAGAAAAUACAAAAGUCUAUUCUGACCCUGGGACCUGUGCCUGUCGCGAGCUGAAGCCAGCAGAGCCGGACAUCUGACCUCACCACAGCACCCACAAAGCCUUCCAGUACCAACCUCAGUAAAUUCAUGCUACAGGAUUCUGUUUGAAAGCAAUGGUACUUUCUCCUUUUUCCUUUAAGUCCAGGGGAUUACUGUGAAGGCUUUAAAGCAGUUUAUUAGCUGUCUAAAAAAACAGAAGGACACAGAGGCUUUUGCUAGGAGAGCGUGAGACAGCGAAGAGAUGCAACAGUUCUGAAGAACCUCACAGCAAGAUGUGUUCCAACUGUACGGUCUGAGAUCUUGCGCUUUAGGCAUGCUAUCCACCAGCCUUUCUUCCCUUCAGUGAUGAAUCUAGUCUCUCACUAAUAUAAUCACUUUCCCCUAUAUGCUGUUGCCAGAAGGAGCACGUCCUUUAAAAAAAAAAAAAAAAAAGUCUGGAUUUGUUUUGCUGUUGCAAGUUUGUGAUUGGUCUGACAGUCUGCGUCUAUGAGGCUUCCUAAAGGCAGCUUGCUCUGGUUUCAGCACUCUCACUCUCCCAAAUUAUUUCUCAACAAGAAGCGGGGAUACAUUUGGGGCUGCUCCUCAUGUAUUAAUCUUCAGGAAAGCCAAAAGGGAGCAGGACUGAAAGAAAGAAUGAGGCAAACUAAGAUAAAUAGCAACAAUAAUACCAAGCAUUUCUAUCUGCAGGAGCACAAAAGGCAGAAACUGGACAUCUGAAAUUCACAAUAUCCUUAUAGAAGGACACAAGUUAGAAGGACAAGCUCAUUUUACUAAUGAGACAACUCAAUACAUCCUUUGUCGUGGGAUUUACUGCCAGCUCUGCCCCCGGAAUUCCCAAGUCCCUCUCUAGAGGUACAGUCUAAGGAGGUGUGCAAGAUGGGGCAGAUCUGAAUAGAGACUCUUACAGCAAACUGGUAAAAACAACAAGCAAGCGAAAAACCUAGUGGUGUACUGGACCAAACAGAUGCAUUUGAGAAUGUUUAAGUUGCUGGUUCACAUCACUGUAAGGCUGCUGUUUGUCAUCUUAAAGGUCAGGGCAAUCAGAGGAGGUUCUUGAUGACUGGAAAAAAGCCAAAUGUCAUCCUCAUCUUCAAGAAGGUCAAGGAGGAAGAGAUGGGGAACUACAGGAUGCUUAGCUGUACCUCAUUCCCCAAGAAAAUAUGGAGCAAAUCCUUUGGGACUCCACACCCAACACUUCAAACAAAAGAAAGUGAUUGAAAAUAGACAGCAUAGAUCUAAUUAGGUCAAAUAAUUGAUACCUAACCCAGUUAACAGCUGGCUAGAAAACAGCUUUGGAGAAAAAAGUACAGGAGCCCUCACAGGCAACAAGCUGAACCAGAAUCAACGGGGUGUCCCAGCAGUGAUGAGAACUAAUGGCAUAUCGGUGUGAGUAAAAGCACAACCAACAGACUUAGGGAAGCAAUCACUCCAAACUAUCUCGUACCCGUGAGACUGAAUCCACAGUACUGUGUCUGGUUUUGGACUCCCCAAUUCAUAAAGGAUUUACUGCACUGACAUACUUGGAUCAAGUCCAGGAGAAGAUGAUCAAGAUGCUUGGGGGCUGGCGCACAUAUAUUGUGAUGAGAGGUUAAGACAGCCAGUUUCCUCAGUCUGAGGAAGAGAAGCACAAUACAGUUGAUGUCUUCAACUAUCUAAUAGAUGAAGACAGAGUUACUUAAAGAGAAAACAGAGCUGGACUCAACUCAGAAGAACACAGCAAAAAAGCUACACACAAUUCAUACGAGUUGCAGAGAGAGAAAUACCAAUCAGACAUAUGCAAAAGAUUACAGUUGAUGGUGUACUCAAAGACUGGAACAGGUGCCCAGAGAGGUCGUAAAAUCUCCAUCCUCAGAGAUGCUCAAAACUUGAUCAGAGAAGACCCUGGCAAGCCCAAUCUAACUGCAGAGAUGACCUUACUUUCAGUAGGGAACCAAACCUGAUGACCUCUGAAAGUUGUUUCUAACUUCUAUUAUUCAGUAAUUGUAACAGAGGCACAGAAGCAAUAAAUUACUUGAACUCUG